Molecule: transfer RNA, 69 nt
Filed under: Trigonopterus kotamobagensis
Lineage: Eukaryota; Metazoa; Arthropoda; Insecta; Coleoptera; Curculionidae
Description: tRNA-Val
Source: RNAcentral
CAAGUUAGAGCUUGGGGAAAGUAUUUUAUUUACAUUAAAAAGGUUGUCAUUUAAGAUGGCAUAGCUUGA